CCCCUAGAUGUUCUGGGCCGCACGCGCGCUACACUGAACAGUUCAACAAGUCUUAACCUUGGCCGAUAGGUCUGGGUAAUCUUUGAACGCUGUUCGUGAUUGGGAUAGACCUUUGCAAUUAUGGGUCUUCAACGAGGAAUUCCUAGUAAACGCAAGUCAUCAGCUUGCAUUGAUUACGUCCCUGCCCUUUGUACACACCGCCCGUCGCACCUACCGAUUGAAUGGUCCGGUGAAGCCUCCGGAUUGGCGCGCACCUCGGUGCCGCCGAGAAGUUGGCUAAACCUUACCAUUUAGAGGAAGGUGAANUCGUANCA
This 314-nucleotide ribosomal RNA is filed under the name uncultured eukaryote. RNAcentral's name for it is "partial 18S ribosomal RNA". It matches the Rfam family "Eukaryotic small subunit ribosomal RNA", at positions 1470 to 1796 of the family's 1831-position model. The record is from RNAcentral.